GUGAGGAAUAUUGGUCAAUGGACGAGAGUCUGAACCAGCCAAGUCGCGUGAAGGAAGACGGUUCUAUGAAUUGUAAACUUCUUUUGUGCAGGAAUAAAGUGGGUUACGUGUAACCUUUUGUAUGUACUGUACGAAUAAGGAUCGGCUAACUCCGUGCCAGCAGCCGCGGUAAUACGGAGGAUCCGAGCGUUAUCCGGAUUUAUUGGGUUUAAAGGGUGCGUAGGUGGAUUGAUAAGUCAGCGGUGAAAGUUUGCAGCUUAACUGUAAAAUUGCCGUUGAAACUGUCGGUCUUGAGUGCAAAUGAGGUAGGCGGAAUGUGUUGUGUAGCGGUGAAAUGCUUAGAUAUAACACAGAACUCCGAUUGCGAAGGCAGCUUACUGGGAUGCAACUGACACUGAUGCACGAAAGCGUGGGGAUCAAACAGGAUUAGAUACCCCUGUAGUCC
Molecule: ribosomal RNA, 445 nt
Filed under: uncultured bacterium
Lineage: Bacteria
Description: partial 16S ribosomal RNA
Rfam family: Bacterial small subunit ribosomal RNA
Source: RNAcentral